GGAAAAUGUGAUGACUUCUGUGAAAAUUGGUAUAACAUAAUGCGCUGGUAUCAAUUUUACUUUAGUCGCGCUGGGCGAGACGAGAGGGUGUCAGACUCUUACUGACUAAAACACCCUGUUCCUACUCCUGUUUUUCGAGCCGGAGCGCAGAGCCCCGGUAAAAGUUUAAAAAGGAGCACUUGAUCCGGUUCUCAGAGCGUAAAGACCAGUCCUGGAAAUAAAAGUAAGUUACAGCAAAAUUAAUAUUUUUUUUAAUAGGAAUUAAAUUUGAUAACGCGUAUGUAGAUAACUUUUUUAGUAUGCUAUAGUGAAUAUUUGGUACGCUUACAGUUUUUAUAUUCAAACGUCAAUCGCGCAUAGUUUACAAGCUGCAGGUGGUGCAUGCAGAUGUGGAUGUACCCUAAUAUAAUUAAAUGAAAAAUUUAAAAACCCCCGACACAAAAUCUUAAUUUCCCUUUAAAAAGUAAAAAAUAAUAAAAGAAACUUAAUCUUAAAGUACCUAAGAAUGUACUAAUAAUUCUAAAAAAAAUUACGUCGCGUUGGGGGACCGCUCCUAAUUAUUUCUUACUUAUCUACGAUUUGUUCAUAAGUAUCACAUUAUUGGUGUUAACAUUAAAGUAAAUUGAUGUUUAAGUACUUAACUAUAACGC
Molecule: long non-coding RNA, 650 nt
Organism: Spodoptera frugiperda (fall armyworm)
Lineage: Eukaryota; Metazoa; Arthropoda; Insecta; Lepidoptera; Noctuidae
Exons: 3
Source: RefSeq, a predicted model, not a curated record